This is a long non-coding RNA of Eriocheir sinensis (Chinese mitten crab), 1202 nucleotides long. RefSeq lists it as uncharacterized. The transcript has 2 exons. NCBI's taxonomy places the organism in Eukaryota, Metazoa, Arthropoda, Malacostraca, Decapoda, Varunidae. The record is from RefSeq and is a predicted model, not a curated record.
GCGUGCUAAAACAAUGGGCCGGUCUUACAGUCACCCGUUUUCGUUCGCUAGCCAGCGAACGAAAGCCUUCCGCGCGCGAUCGGGUCUUACAGUCGCUCUUGGCCGCUGCUUUUCGCUCGCUCGCGAACGAAAAAUCGGCGUUUUGGUAAGGAGAUUUUGGGGAGCGGUUGAGGUGACGAAAACGAGAUUUGUAACCUAUGAAUUCAAAGUAAAUAAGUAAAUAUGCAAUGAUAUAACAUACCUAGCAUGCAGAGAGCAUAUAUAAGGCAAAUAAUUAUUCAAAACACCUUUAUUUUUGUUGUACAAGCGUUUUAUUGGGCAGCGUAUCGUACACCGCCAGCACAACAGUUUGUCGUCUCAGCCAACGCAAUGGAUAUUUUCGGAUGUGGAAUUCUUCUGAAUCUUAAGAUGCUUGUCACAGUGAAAUACCUGGUCACAAGCAAUUUCCUCUUCACCAUAGCUGACUGCAUAUAAAUUGUCGUCAUCAGGUAGCAGGGCUAUUGGAGAUGUCAAAUGAUAUACCUGGUACACUUUCUACAUAUAAUUUCUCUAUCCGAGGAAGCACACCAUGUGUCCAAAAAAGUUUAUGAUGUUGCUGGUAUGGCAGGAGUUACAAAGAGUGUCAGGGUCAAGGUUAGACUACACCUAGGAUCAGUCUGCUCAUUCUCAGUAGUGAUGUACAGGUUGACGGAUGAGGUCAGGCAGCAGUCUCCAUGGACCAUGAUAUUUGUGGAUGACACUGUGAUAUUUAGUGAAGGCAGGGAAGAAACUGAAAAUGAACUAGAGAGGUGGAGGUAUGCACUGUAUAAGAGGGAUGAAAAUCAGCAGGAGCAAGACUGAAUACAUGUGAGUGAGCCCUACGGAAAUGGUACAGUGAGGUUUCAGUGAGUGGAGUUGGCAAAGGUUGAUAAGUUCAAAUACUAGGGCUUAACAGAACAAAGCAAUGGAACGUGUGCUACAGAAAGGAAGAAAAGAGUACCGUACAGGCCAGGUGGAAUAGAGGGAGAAUGGUGACACGAUCAUCCGAUAUUUCUGCUCCAGGACAAAGCCCUGGGGCUGUCCUGUGGUGACUGUGUCCAUUUAUAGCAUCAAAGAGCAGUCAAGUUACAGAUAUCAUAAAAGACCUUUUGCUGUAAGAAAAUCUUUAUUUGGUAAUAAAUUUACCUGUAUUUUCAACAUGGAAAAAUAAAUUAUUAAACUGU